Molecule: ribosomal RNA, 366 nt
Filed under: Triticum aestivum (bread wheat)
Lineage: Eukaryota; Viridiplantae; Streptophyta; Magnoliopsida; Poales; Poaceae
Description: partial small subunit ribosomal RNA
Source: RNAcentral
AUGAUCAAGCAUGGGAAAGCCUUGCAUUCUCAGAAGACAAGCAAUGUGUUCUUCAGUUUGGAGGUCGCAUCUGCAUACCUAAGCAAGAAGUGGAAUCUACAAGCAGCUCGGGACACCCCUUUAUGCCAUCCACCUAGGGAGUACGAAGUUAUACCAGGACCUCAAGAAGUUGAUGAUGGAAUGGAAUGGAAUGGAAUUAGAUAUAGCCGCCCUUUUGUUACCAACGUCUCAGGAUGCAAGCGCGGCGGGUUGCAGCUAGCCCGCACUUGCUUAAGUGGGCUCUUCUGGUUUAUGCGGGUUGCAGCUAGCCCGCACUUGCACCCUUACCAAUGUCAAAUUAAGGCCAUAACUCUAUCAGGGUCAUAA